GCAACUAACCAGCGGCGGACUGGCAUUCGGGCAAUUGCCCUGUGGGCUGGUACCCAAAUUCAUCAGGCGACAGACGAAUGAAAGAUGAGUAAUAAAAAACAUCUAUAAGGUUACUGGUGAAUGAGGUCCAUUGAAAAAGACAGUCGACAGAUCAUGUGAGGUGCACCAACGGUCCAACAUGUGUAAUAUGCAGAUGUCUUCUUUUUAUGCAGUAACGUCUGUAUUUCAUAAGAUAAAAUACUGUUAUAAACCUGGUGGUGACACAAAUGGUCGUAGGCUGUGUGUGUUUUUAGCCUACGCAAAUCGCCCCAGUCCAGCGCUAGACGAGCGGUCAACCGUGACCAGUGACAGUACACGCCGGUUCGGCAAGAACCUGUGUGUAAAUAUUUCACACGCAAGUCACGGCGAAAGUGAUCAACUGGAGUGGUCAAGCGACGGUUCUAGAAGGCCAGUAGAGACACUAUAUAAGAGCGAGUGUGUCAAGACACUUCGUUACCUCGCAAUGUGACCAGUACGAGGCGAGAUCCAGCACGGUGUGUGAAGUCAGUGCGGAGCAGAGACUAGGUUUUUGUAAAGACAGUGUUAAUGUUGUUGCCAAUUGCGAUGUAUUUGACAUUAAACUGACUGAUACUUUG
Biomphalaria glabrata is the source of this 635-nucleotide long non-coding RNA. RefSeq lists it as uncharacterized. The transcript has 2 exons. NCBI's taxonomy places the organism in Eukaryota, Metazoa, Mollusca, Gastropoda, Planorbidae. The record is from RefSeq and is a predicted model, not a curated record.